GACGAACGCUGGCGGCGUGCCUAAUACAUGCAAGUAGAACGCUGAAGGAGGAGCUUGCUUCUCUGGAUGAGUUGCGAACGGGUGAGUAACGCGUAGGUAACCUGCCUGGUAGCGGGGGAUAACUAUUGGAAACGAUAGCUAAUACCGCAUAAUAGUAAAUGUUGCAUGACAUUUGCUUAAAAGGUGCAAUUGCAUCACUACCAGAUGGACCUGCGUUGUAUUAGCUAGUUGGUGGGGUAACGGCUCACCAAGGCGACGAUACAUAGCCGACCUGAGAGGGUGAUCGGCCACACUGGGACUGAGACACGGCCCAGACUCCUACGGGAGGCAGCAGUAGGGAAUCUUCGGCAAUGGACGGAAGUCUGACCGAGCAACGCCGCGUGAGUGAAGAAGGUUUUCGGAUCGUAAAGCUCUGUUGUAAGAGAAGAACGAGUGUGAGAGUGGAAAGUUCACACUGUGACGGUAUCUUACCAGAAAGGGACGGCUAACUACGUGCCAGCAGCCGCGGUAAUACGUAGGUCCCGAGCGUUGUCCGGAUUUAUUGGGCGUAAAGCGAGCGCAGGCGGUUAGAUAAGUCUGAAGUUAAAGGCUGUGGCUUAACCAUAGUACGCUUUGGAAACUGUUUAACUUGAGUGCAAGAGGGGAGAGUGGAAUUCCAUGUGUAGCGGUGAAAUGCGUAGAUAUAUGGAGGAACACCGGUGGCGAAAGCGGCUCUCUGGCUUGUAACUGACGCUGAGGCUCGAAAGCGUGGGGAGCAAACAGG
This 763-nucleotide ribosomal RNA is filed under the name uncultured Streptococcus sp. RNAcentral's name for it is "bacterial SSU rRNA". It matches the Rfam family "Bacterial small subunit ribosomal RNA", at positions 28 to 776 of the family's 1533-position model. Lineage: Bacteria; Bacillati; Bacillota; Bacilli; Lactobacillales; Streptococcaceae. The record is from RNAcentral.